RNAcentral lists this ribosomal RNA (57 nucleotides) under uncultured Flavobacteriia bacterium. Its description in RNAcentral is "partial 16S ribosomal RNA". Lineage: Bacteria; Pseudomonadati; Bacteroidota; Flavobacteriia. The record is from RNAcentral.
GGAGUGGCAUCACUCAGCUGUUAAAGCUCCGGCACUUAACGAUGGGCGUGCGGCUGA